UACGAGUGCCUCAAGCGUUAUCCGGAAUCAUUGGGCGUAAAGGAUGUGUAGGUGGUCAUGUUAGUCUCUCGUUAAAUUCUUCGGCUUAACCGGGGGCAUGCGAGGGAAACGGCACGACUAGAGGAUGCAAGGGGUCUGCGGAACUCAUAGUGUAGCGGUGAAAUGCGUUGAUAUUAUGGGGAACACCAAAAGCGAAGGCAGCAGACUAGGGCACUCCUGACACUGAGACAUGAAAGCGUGGGUAGCGAAUGGG
Molecule: ribosomal RNA, 253 nt
Filed under: uncultured bacterium
Lineage: Bacteria
Description: partial 16S ribosomal RNA
Rfam family: Bacterial small subunit ribosomal RNA
Source: RNAcentral